CCAUCGUCUCACUCUCUGAAGCUCUUUCACUGCCGAGCUUAAAGAAAAAUAAUUUUCUUUUUAUCUCCCAAAUCCUCCGCUGUCUAAACCAACAGAUCUUCAUGAACAACAAUUCUCUUCUUCAUCUCUCCAGACUCCAAAUCUGCUAUGUUCGAUGGAGAAGACCAAUUAUCAUCCUCAGUUGAAUUCUCGAACAGUUGAAGCCGGAUUUGGUUAAGUUUCACCUUCACCAACAAUUGAAGGAUCGACUGAUUUCCCAGAAAGAAGAUUUUGGUGUAUGCGUGGUCUGCCAUGGUGGGUAUGAUAUGGUUUUAGAUCUGCCGGACUAUCUUCAUCCAAGCAUGUACCUUUAAAAGAUGUUAAAAAGCUUGAUGUUGAGUUCCAUGUAUCCCUGUGGAACUUUGAGCUUUAUUUACUUUGUUUGUGUGUAUUUGUAGGAAGGAAUGUCGAUGGAAGGGAAAUUAUGGUUCUUGUGAAGUAUGGUCCCAAUGCUCAACGAAUGUAAGCAAAAAUUUCAUAUCUGAGUCUACUAUGACCGAGUUCUCCGUUGUCGUAUAUAAGUAAGGUAGCUAUAAAUUUCCUCAUACUUUAGAAGAACAUAUAGAUAACUGCAUUGUCUGUUAUUUUGACUAGAGAGAGUCAGGAAUGGUCUAGCAGUCGCAGCCAUUGUCGAAGGUAUUGCUGGUUGUAAACUGUUGGAAACAAAGCACUAUAAUCAAAUUACACAAAGAAACCGCUGAGUCGCGUACUAGGUCGCUAUCUUUAAGGUGUUUCGCGACUCUGCCUCUUGAUUGUGCUAG
This is a long non-coding RNA of Papaver somniferum (opium poppy), 800 nucleotides long. RefSeq lists it as uncharacterized. The transcript is spliced from 3 exons. NCBI's taxonomy places the organism in Eukaryota, Viridiplantae, Streptophyta, Magnoliopsida, Ranunculales, Papaveraceae. The record is from RefSeq and is a predicted model, not a curated record.